AUACGAAGGGGGCUAGCGUUGUUCGGAAUUACUGGGCGUAAAGCGCGCGUAGGCGGAUUGGUCAGUUAGGGGUGAAAUCCCAGGGCUUAACCCUGGAACUGCCUCUAAUACUGCCAGUCUUGAGUUCGGGAGAGGUGAGUGGAAUUCCUAGUGUAGAGGUGAAAUUCGUAGAUAUUAGGAGGAACACCAGUGGCGAAGGCGGCUCACUGGCCCGGUACUGACGCUGAGGUACGAAAGCGUGGGGAGCAAACAGGAUUAGAAACCCCAGUAGUCC
Molecule: ribosomal RNA, 274 nt
Filed under: uncultured bacterium
Lineage: Bacteria
Description: partial 16S ribosomal RNA
Rfam family: Bacterial small subunit ribosomal RNA
Source: RNAcentral